This 253-nucleotide ribosomal RNA is filed under the name uncultured bacterium. RNAcentral's name for it is "partial 16S ribosomal RNA". It matches the Rfam family "Bacterial small subunit ribosomal RNA", at positions 524 to 776 of the family's 1533-position model. The record is from RNAcentral.
UACGGGGGGGGCAAGCGUUGUUCGGAAUUACUGGGCGUAAAGGGCUCGUAGGUGGCCAAGUAAGUCAGACGUGAAAUCCCUCAGCUUAACUGGGGAACUGCGUCUGAUACUGGAUGGCUUGAGUUCGGGAGAGGGAUGCGGAAUUCCUGGUGUAGCGGUGAAAUGCGUAGAUAUCAGGAGGAACACCGGUUGCGAAGGCGGGUCUCUGGGCCGAUACUGACGCUGAGGAGCGAAAGCGUGGGGAGCGAACAGG